Molecule: ribosomal RNA, 228 nt
Filed under: uncultured bacterium
Lineage: Bacteria
Description: partial 16S ribosomal RNA
Rfam family: Bacterial small subunit ribosomal RNA
Source: RNAcentral
UCCGUAGGCGGGCAAUUAAGUCAGAGGUGAAAUCCCACAGCUCAACUGUGGAACUGCCUUUGAUACUGGUUGUCUUGAGUUACAGUGAAGUAGAUAGAAUAUGUAGUGUAGCGGUGAAAUGCAUAGAUAUUACAUAGAAUACCGAUUGCGAAGGCAGUCUACUAACUGUAUACUGACGCUAAUGGACGAAAGCGUGGCGAGCGAACAGGAUUAGAUACCCUGGUAGUC